GAUAGCGUGGCCGAGCGGUCUAAGGCGCUGGUUUAAGGCACCAGUUUCUCCGGAGGCGUGGGUUCGAAUCCCACCGCUGCCA
This 82-nucleotide transfer RNA is filed under the name Trichonephila clavipes. It matches the Rfam family "tRNA". From Rfam's summary of the family: Transfer RNA (tRNA) molecules are approximately 80 nucleotides in length. Their secondary structure includes four short double-helical elements and three loops (D, anti-codon, and T loops). The record is from Rfam by way of RNAcentral. Lineage: Eukaryota; Metazoa; Arthropoda; Arachnida; Araneae; Nephilidae.